GGCUCAGUGGUGUAGUGGUGUGACACACAGUGCCCCGGAUAUAGCUGAGACACGAGUUCGAAUCCCGCCUGAGCCG
RNAcentral lists this transfer RNA (76 nucleotides) under Nippostrongylus brasiliensis. It matches the Rfam family "tRNA". From Rfam's summary of the family: Transfer RNA (tRNA) molecules are approximately 80 nucleotides in length. Their secondary structure includes four short double-helical elements and three loops (D, anti-codon, and T loops). Lineage: Eukaryota; Metazoa; Nematoda; Chromadorea; Rhabditida; Heligmosomidae. The record is from Rfam by way of RNAcentral.